AUUGAACGCUGGCGGCAGGCUUAACACAUGCAAGUCGAGCGGAGAGAGGUAGCUUGCUACUGAUCUUAGCGGCGGACGGGUGAGUAAUGUUUAGGAAUCUGCCUAUUAGUGGGGGACAACAUUUCGAAAGGAAUGCUAAUACCGCAUACGUCCUACGGGAGAAAGCAGGGGAUCUUCGGACCUUGCGCUAAUAGAUGAGCCUAAGUCGGAUUAGCUAGUUGGUGGGGUAAAGGCCUACCAAGGCGACGAUCUGUAGCGGGUCUGAGAGGAUGAUCCGCCACACUGGGACUGAGACACGGCCCAGACUCCUACGGGAGGCAGCAGUGGGGAAUAUUGGACAAUGGGCGGAAGCCUGAUCCAGCCAAGCCGCGUGUGUGAAGAAGGCCUUAUGGUUGUAAAGCACUUUAAGCGAGGAGGAGGCUACUUUAGUUAAUACCUAGAGAUAGUGGACGUUACUCGCAGAAUAAGCACCGGCUAACUCUGUGCCAGCCGCCGCGGUAA
Molecule: ribosomal RNA, 501 nt
Filed under: uncultured bacterium
Lineage: Bacteria
Description: partial 16S ribosomal RNA
Rfam family: Bacterial small subunit ribosomal RNA
Source: RNAcentral